AAGGACAUGUGGAGCGCUUAGAAGUGAGAAUGCCGGUGUGAGUAGCGAAAGACGGGUGAGAAUCCCGUCCACCGAUUGACUAAGGUUUCCAGAGGAAGGCUCGUCCGCUCUGGGUUAGUCGGGUCCUAAGCUGAGGCCGACAGGCGUAGGCGAUGGAUAACAGGUUGAUAUUCCUGUACCACCUAUAAUCGUUUUAAUCGAUGGGGGGACGCAGUAGGAUAGGCGAAGCGUGCGAUUGGAUUGCACGUCUAAGCAGUAAGGCUGAGUAUUAGGCA
Molecule: ribosomal RNA, 275 nt
Filed under: Staphylococcus aureus subsp. aureus 301-188
Lineage: Bacteria; Bacillati; Bacillota; Bacilli; Caryophanales; Staphylococcaceae
Also listed under: 1 other name
Description: partial 23S ribosomal RNA
Rfam family: Bacterial large subunit ribosomal RNA
Source: RNAcentral